RNAcentral lists this ribosomal RNA (235 nucleotides) under uncultured bacterium. RNAcentral describes it as "partial 16S ribosomal RNA". It matches the Rfam family "Bacterial small subunit ribosomal RNA", at positions 116 to 334 of the family's 1533-position model. The record is from RNAcentral.
CGUAAACAACCUGCCUUCAGGAUGAGGACAACAGACGGAAACGACUGCUAAUACCGAAUAAGUUCCAAGGGCCGCAUGGCCCAUGGAAGAAAAGGUGGCCUCUACCUAUAAGCUAUCGCCUGAAGAGGGGUUUGCGUCUGAUUAGCUAGUUGGAGGGGUAACGGCCCACCAAGGCGAUGAUCAGUAGCCGGUCUGAGAGGAUGAACGGCCACAUUGGGACUGAGACACGGCCCAG